UACGGAGGGGGCAAGCGUUGUUCGGAUUUACUGGGCGUAAAGGGUGUGUAGGCGGCCGCGCAAGUCUGGUGUGAAAUCUUCACCGCUUAACGGGAAGAGGUCACUGGAAACUGCGUGGCUCGAGUAUGGUAGAGGCAAGCGGAACUCCUGGUGUAGCGGUGGAAUGUGUAGAUAUCAGGAAGAACAUCUGUGGCGAAGGCGGCUUGCUGGGCCAUUACUGACGCUGAGACACGAAAGCGUGGGGAGCAAACGGGAUUAGAUACCCCGGUAGUCCACGCUGUAAACUGUGCGCACUAGGUGUGGGGGGUAUCGACCCCUCCCGUGCCGACGUUAACACAUUAAGUGCGCCGCCUGGGGAGUACGGCCGCAAGGUUGAA
This 377-nucleotide ribosomal RNA is filed under the name uncultured bacterium. RNAcentral's name for it is "bacterial SSU rRNA". It matches the Rfam family "Bacterial small subunit ribosomal RNA", at positions 524 to 898 of the family's 1533-position model. The record is from RNAcentral.